This is a long non-coding RNA of Bombus pyrosoma, 2975 nucleotides long. RefSeq lists it as uncharacterized. NCBI's taxonomy places the organism in Eukaryota, Metazoa, Arthropoda, Insecta, Hymenoptera, Apidae. The record is from RefSeq and is a predicted model, not a curated record. The transcript has 3 exons.
ACGUAUUCACGGCAUAAUAAAAAAUUUCAUCUGUAAACUCAAACUUGAUGAAUGUAUUCACGUUACUAAUCUUUACUGUUGAUUUUUCGACCCAUAUUUAUUCGAACUUUUUCACAUCAUUUGUCAAGUACUAUCUACCCUGGAAGUUGUGAAUCCUCUUUUAGUCCUAUUUUGUAUGUAUAGUUGGGUUAUAUAGGGUUACCUCUAAAUCAUCGGCAAUAAUUUCAUCGAUACUCCGACGACUCGAAGUCACCGACGAUCGUUCCAUCGACUAUCAUUUCGCCGACAUGGUCUUUUGCCGAAAAUUAUUAUAUAUCUUUGUCGUUUAUGCACGAAAAUGAAUACGUAGAUAAAGAUGUAGAAUAUGAUCAUCUUGAAAUGUCGAACGUUGUUUCUCGAAAUAAUUGUCAUUAAAAUUUCAUCUUUAUCUUAUAUUAUUUAUUUAGUUAACAGAACCUAGAGUUCCAGAGCCCUGUGUUACAAAGCAUAUAAAAAAGGGGAGAAAACUAAUCCAAGAAUAUAUAGAUAUAGAAGUACAGGCUGAAAAGUGUGCACAGUAAUGUUUAACCCUUUGCCUUACGAUUUAAGUUCCAAUAACACGUGCCAUAAACAGCAACGAGGUCGGUCAUACGUCUUUUGAUAUGUAAAUGCAUGUGUAAGAUACAACUAAUUUUAUUUCGCAAGAUGUUUGAUAAAUAUUUAGUACCAAUUAAUCAUUGAACGAGACAUUAUCUUGAAGUAAAUAAUGAAUCAAUAACAUCGACGUACCACGUCCCUCAUACGUGUUGUUUAUGUUUCGCCCGAUCGACGUACCACGUCAUAGCAGUAACACUAUCACCCGCAACGAUAUCUCCACCUCAAAUCUAAUAUCAUUAUUAAAAAUUUCAAUAUGGAAAACAGGUGUAUUGCGUAAAGCAGAUUGUUUGUGCAUUGAGAUUGACCAGUUGAUGUAGCGAGGAACAGACUACUAAGUCAUUCAUAAUUUUCAAAAGAAUCAACAUGUCAGCCAACUUUCUGCGGUCCUCGAAUGUCAAUUGUAAUGUCUACGGAAUACAGACAGUGUGGUGUAGUUGUAAUCACAGCUGUGAAUAAGGGUAACCUAGGGAACGUAACACAGAACGUAGGAAUCUAAGUCGUGAUCUUUCUUUAAUAAGCUGAACAUAUUUAAUUUAAUUUAACGUUUAUGAUGUCAGGAACUAUAUAACGCUAGCGUGUACUCUACAUGCGGUCUAACCUAACGAUUGUACAAAGUUCUCAGCGUUAGAGGGUUUCUCAAGUCCUUACAAAAUCUGAAGAUAAAACCAAGUAAUUAGUUUGCAUCAAUGAUGAUGCAUGAUGAUUUGUAAUAUGUUUAGUGUAUGAUAACUAAACAUUAUAAUAAACGCAAAGGUCACUGUUGACCGAUGACAGGAUGGCGUCUCUCAGAACGGAGAAUUAUAUUGCUUGUUAUAUCGCUGGUACAACACAAUGCGUCAGCAUAUGUACUGCGGUGUCUGAGAAACCUCAUAUCCUCAUAAACAAUUUAAGAUAAUCGAUAAUGAAGAUUAUGAAUAAUAAUGGGGUUAAAUGAGGGCCUAAAAGAGCCCUGAGGAAUGCCUUCCUGAAGUCAGUGUACACCACAUUUACACGUGUUGUUCACUGUUCGAUAUGUAUGUAUUGUAUAACUACUGGAAAUGUUGAGGUUGGUAACUUGUCCGGAAUAAAUAUAAGCUGUUGAAUAGGUAUGUGAUUCUUGACGAUCGAAUUUAAUGACGAAUUUAAUGGAGAUAAUUUUCUCAUAUAAAAUUUAUUAAUUAUGGAUAUUGGUCUGAAAUUGAUAACCCUAGUUUUGUCACGUGAUUCAAGUAUGGGAGUAAUUAGGCUGAACCUUCAUUUUGGCAGAAAGAUUUUAGCGCUAAUAGAUUUCUGCCUUUAGUGACAGGAGGAGGAAAAACAUUGCCUAUACGGAUCAUCGAGUCAGUUAAAUGGAGCUCGAUGGAGCUCAUUGAAAUAUCAUGAUAUUGUGAAAAUCAACAGGGAAUAGAAUACACUGAUUCAAAAAAUUAGAUAAAAGAAUCUACGAUAGCCUAAUUAAAGUGGACAAUUGCAAUUCAUCUUGCCAAUCCAUACAUGCAAGGAUAAGUUAGUUAAAUCAGUACGAACUGACAAAUUUGCAGAAUGACUUUGGGUUUGCCGCCAAGGUAUUUUCAAUAACACGGAGGUAAGCAGGGCUAAUCAUUCAUACCGCAGCGUUUACAUUCAGAUCUAAGGUUAACAAAAUUAAAAUCACUUACAUUCAAACUAUAUCAAAUUAAAUAUUCAAUCAAAUUAAGAUUCAAUCAUAUUAACUUAUAUCGUUAGUCUGCAUGCAGGCUUGAUGUGAAAAUUUUUUCUGUACAAACAAUACUUUAAGCUCUGUAAAGAACCAUCUCGGAAACAAGAAAUUGUAGACUCGUGAAAUGAUCGUUGGUAAUUUCAACGUGUCGGUAAAUAAACAUUGUCGACGAACACGACGUCAGUGAAAUUCUGUCUAUGAAAACGAUUUAAAGUGAGGAUUUAAAGAUUGCGUUAAUGAGACGGUAAAGUUACCGUGCUCAUACCAGCGACGAUUAUUUAGUCGUUGACGUCAACUUACUCUUCUACAAUUAAAAACAACACUGAAUAAGAAUAAUACUAAAGCUGCAUAUACAUGUAUCAUGUGUAAAAAUAUGAAGGACUUUUUGCAUUUAAAUGAUUUACAUUCGUACGAAACAAUGAACCGAAUGGUAACAAACAGUGGCAACACCACAUUUGCAAGCAUCAAAAUUCCUAUUUUAAUAUUCCAGUGCAACGCAUAAAUAAAUUGCAAUUAACGACUUUCUAGAGAAACACUUUACCUAAAUAUACCUAAAUAUACAUAAUCUUCUUGAUAAUGAUGUACAAACUAUGUAUGUAAAAAAAUGAAUUAUUAUUAUUAUUAUUGUAAUAAAUAAAAGUAUAAAUAGAAAUACAAGAUA